CUCUUACGAAGAAACCGUUCUACGGAAGCCCAGUUGAGACAACUUGAGACAGGAUUCAGAAACGCUGAUUUUAGUAACCUUAACCCUCGGCCUUUGGUGGGAACUUCGGCUCUGUGGGAAUUAGUCUUUGCGGGACUGAUGGUGAUGCUGAAAUCUUAUUGCGUAGGAAAUUAAGUACAACAAAGAAGACCCGUCGUGAGAGGAGAGUGCGGAAGAAAUGCGAAGUCUACGGGAGGUGGCAGCUGCAGAAGCUUGGUGUUGGAUUUGGAGUUAGGAGACCGGGAGGAGCCCAGCUUCCGGUCCAGACGGUUAUCUUGUUGACUUGCACGACUGCAAACGCCCUGAGCUGCUUUUGCAGUCUGAAACAUCAGCGAUCCCAUCAAAAUAUUCUGUUUCUUGGGAUAUAAGAAACAUCCCAAGGCGGGCUGUAGAGCGAGAGAUUUGGACUCGAUUUAAAUACAGACAAAAUAGUAUGCAUUUACUAACACCACAUCUCACCCCCACGAAACUUGGUAAGGGCAGCAACAGAACUUUAUCUGCCAUAUGCACUCCUGUAUUCCUAUUACCAAAUAGUGCCAGGGACUAAGUGAAUAUUUGCCCAAUGAAUGAGUUUUAAGUAGGAAACGUUUGCAUAGAAUCAUUUUGUUUCUUUUGGAGUUCAAAUCUUCGGAUAUUUUACCCUUCCCAAUCCAAAGAAAAGUCUCUGAGUGAAGAGAUGGGAACAAAAUGUAAGUUAAAUAUGUUGCUUUAACAACUGUUUAUUGAACUCGUGCUAUAUACUGUAGAAUGAUGAGCAAAACCAGGCACAGUUUCGGCCCUGGAAGAGGAAAGGCAGGCAUAUAUUUAUCAACCCAGAAGAUCCAUGAAGGCAGGACUGUAUCCCGAUCGCCACUGUGACACCUAGACAGUGCUUGGAGCGCACUCGGGCAUCUAAAAAUGUUGGUUGAACAAAUAUAUCAACAUCAAAAGCAAAAUAAACACAUUAGUAGGAAAGGAGUGCAUAAAAGUAUGGCUGUCCAAGGCAAACAAAAUGCAAACAGGAUUGCCAAUGUAAAUCUCAGCAGAAUUCAAGGCUAAACUCUUCAGAAGAAGAUUCCCUUUAAACGAAACACCAUAUGACCUACAGAAGAUCUAAGGUGUGAAUCUUUAUACACCAAAUAACAAAGCACGCAAAGUAAACCCAUGGUAGUGGUAAACUUCAAUUUUCUUCUCUUCCAAGCACAGAGAGAAGGCAAUAACGAAUAUAUUAAUCAAUACAUUCACACAUUCAAGCAUCCUAAAUAAAACUAAUGAAGUCAAAGUAACAGACGUAUCUAUCAAACUCUACACCCUACAAACAGUGACCACCCUUACUCAGUGGGAGGCUGCAUAGGAUGGUGUCUAACACUCUAGAAUUCAAAGUCUUGGACCUAGCUCUGGCCCACCAUUGGAGGUGAGGGAGACAGUACCCUGGGAUAAUUACUCAUCUUUCAUGAGCCUGGUUUCAUGUUGUUCUAAGAAUCAGGAGAUAAUCCACAUGCAGAAAUUACCACUGUGUCCUGACAAUUUGUGCUGACUGAGCAAACUACUAGUACUACAUUAUUAUCAAUACUUGACUACAUUCAUGGCAUACAUUUAAAAUGAUUUUAUAUUGGACCACAAAGAUAAAUUAUUAGAAUUCCCUAGGGCAGAAAUUAUAAAGGACUCAUUUUGAUGUAGCAAAAGGAAAAAAGUAAAAAUAACAAAUACAAACCAAAAAACCUAAACACGUGUGGAGUUAAAAGCACUUCUCCUGGGCAUGGUGGCUCACGCCUGUAAUCCCAACACUUUGGGAGGCCAGGCAGGCAGUGACUUCCCCGCCCACGCCCGCGCUGAUUACUUGAGGUCAGAAGUUCAAAACCAGCCUGGCCAACAUGGUGAAAUGCCAUCUCUACUAAAAAAUACAAAAAUUAGUCAGGCGUGGUGGUGGGCGCCUGUAAUCCCAGCUACUUGGGAGGCUGAGGCAGGAGAAUCGCUUGAACCCAGGAGGCGGAGGUUUCAGUGAGCCGAGAUCGUGCCACUGCACUCCAGCCUGGGCAACAGAGCGAGACUCCGUCUCAAAAAUAAAUAAAUAAAUAAAAUAAAGCACUUCUAAACCUUAUACAUCAUAUUAAAAAAUAAAAACUUUGGCCGGGUACAGUGGUUCACACCUGUAAUCCCCAGCACUUUAGGAGGACAAGAUGGAAGGAUCACUAAGGCCAGGAGUUCAAGACCAGCCUGGCCAACAAAGUGAGACCCUGUCUCUAAAAAAAAAAAAAAAAAAAAAAAAAUUUAAUUUAGCCAGGCAUGGUGGCAUGUACCUGUAGUCCCAUUCCAGUCUGGGGAACACAGUGAGACCCUAUUUUUUUUAGAGUGAGUCUCUAAAAAUAAUAAUAAUAAAAAAUACAUAAAAGAAACAAAAGGAAAAAUAAAAGGGAAAGGGAAAGAAAUAAAGCAUCCCUAAAUCACAAUCGUGUAAGUAACACAGAUGCAAACUUAUGAGAUAUUCUCUGUCUUUAAUGAUUGCACACUGAACACUUGACACUCACUUUUCUGAACCCUCUAGAGUCUCUAAAAUACAAGCUCUUUUUAUUAAAUGAUAAUUGGAAACAAAAAGGAGGGCUAAAAGUGGACUAGAAAGUUUGAGAAAAUCUCAGAUGACAUGCACAAAUAGAAUUAAGACUGACAGAGAAUCAACAAAGGAAUCCCCUGUCUAAGAACCACAGGUAGACAGACGUUCCCAAGGAAGCCUCAGGGACUUGGAAUAAACUAAGACAAAAAGAAAGAAUGAGCCACAGGACAAUAAUCAGAUUAAACAACUGCACAAGGAAAAAUUGUGUCCUUGUACAAGGAACAGCAGAGCCAAUCAGGUCCUGUCUCUUUUCCAUCUCCCUUCCCUGGUACACAGAAUAAACCCUGCAGCCCUGGCCUCCUGGGUAAAUGUGGAAAAUCAUUCCUACAGUGAGCAAUCCACCUUGCUCACUGGAUGGAUGGAUGUGGGAAGCAGCAACUGUGGUCCUCCAGAUACCGAAGCGGGGAAGGGAAUAAAUGAGGAAAGCCAGUUCCACUGCAAAGAAAAACCCACCCUGGCAAUUGCAGAGGCCUCCAGCCUGCCUACUGAUCUUCAGCCAGCUGGAAUCCCAAAUUAAAGUCAACCAGUCAACAGGCCUCACCUACCCACAUACCAGCCCUUUCUUUAAAGGAGAAGCUAUUGGAGAAAGAGACUUAGGCAAGAAUAAAGGAAACUCCUAUUGCCAACUUCUAUACCAAUCAAUUUAAUCAUUUAUUCAUAAUAUAAAUGAAGAACCAGAGAUCACCAGGCAUUUGAGAAAUAAACAGCAUUAAAAAGCAGGACCAUGAUGAAAAAGAAGUGACCUGCAAGUUCAAGAGAUAAGAAUACAAUGUUCAUAAUCCUAAUUUUGUUCCCUUUUUUUCAAAGUCCAGGUUCCAGGCUUAUAUUAUAUAAUCCUAAUGUUUAGCCUUAAAUAUUAAUAACAAUAUUUAAUUCUAAAUUCUGCUCCAAGAUGAGGAUUUUUAUAAUCCUAAUAUUUAUCCUCAAAUUCAAAAGUAUAUUAUACACCAAAUAUAGGCAGCUAGGAAAAAGGACCAAUCAGAGAAAAAGAAAAUGAACAAAAACUUUCAAAUAUGAUUGUUGAAAUUAAAAAAUUAACUGGAAAUCCUAAAUAAUAAAAUGAGUGGGGAUAAAUAUCAAGUUUGAGAGCUCAAAGAUAAAGUCAAGGAAGAGCAAUAAAAGAAGAAAGUUUGCAUGGACACAAAGAGGGAACAAUCGACACGGGGGCCUAUUUAGGGUGGAGGGUGGGAGGAGGGAGAGGAUCAGAAAAAAUAACAAUUGGUCCUUACCAAGCUUAGUGCCUGGGUGACCAAAUAAUUCAUACAACAAACCCCCAUAACAUGAGUUCACCUAUAUAACAAACCUGCAUGUGUACCCCUGAACCUAAAAUAAAAGUUUAACAAA
This is a long non-coding RNA of Homo sapiens (human), 3973 nucleotides long. RefSeq annotates it as ARHGAP11B divergent transcript. The record is from RefSeq and is marked validated. Lineage: Eukaryota; Metazoa; Chordata; Mammalia; Primates; Hominidae.